RNAcentral lists this long non-coding RNA (668 nucleotides) under Olea europaea subsp. europaea. Lineage: Eukaryota; Viridiplantae; Streptophyta; Magnoliopsida; Lamiales; Oleaceae. The record is from RNAcentral.
GUUCUCUUAGUUAUUAUAAUUCCACAUUCUUUAUGAUUAAAUUCUCUCUCUCUCUCUCUCGAUUGGAUGAAUUUGAUAGAUCUUUUGGAUUUUGUUCUUUGGAGUGCUGAUCAAUAUUGGCUUCAUUGGAUUUCUUUACAUUUUCUGUGAGUUGAAUUUUCGAUGUAAUCUGUGCUUGUUUAUAAUGUUUGUGGUUCCUUUUUGUCAAGAGAAAGAACUUUUUUCCACAUUCAAAUGGGGAAGGAAGAAAGUCUGGAACAAGGGGGAUCAACCAGAACUGAACUUCCUUUGCUGUUUAGUUAGGAAGAGAGAGGUGUAUAUCAGAGACAGGUUCUGAGAAGGGAUUCAGUUUUUUAUGUGAUGAAUUAUGCUCCCUUAAUCUCUCAAUAUUUUCUAUUUGGUUUGCGAUGAAUUAUGCUCCCUAAGAUCUCUCGAUAUUUUCUGUUGACUUCUUCAUUCUUCUUAAAUUCUCUACAUUUCUUCUACAUUUGGUCUGUGAUAUAGGUUGGGCUUUGAUUGAGUGGGCUUCAACCAUUACACUUUUCCAUUUUAUGCUUGGUUAAUUCAGCAAUUAUGUUUUUCGGAGUUCUGGUUUAUUUUAUUUAUUUAUUUUUUAUUUUUAAAAUUCCAUGUUUAUAAUUUACUUUCUCUGUUUAGAUGAAUCUAGA